UACAGAGGGGGCGAGCGUUAUUCGGAAUUAUUGGGCGUAAAGGGCGCGUAGGCGGCCUGACAAGUGACGGGUGAAAGCCCUCGGCUUAACCGAGGAACUGCCUGUCAUACUGUCUGGCUUGAGACCGGGAGAGGUGAGUGGAAUUCCCAGUGUAGCGGUGAAAUGCGUAGAUAUUGGGAGGAACACCAGUGGCGAAGGCGGCUCACUGGACCGGUACUGACGCUGAGGCGCGAAAGCGUGGGGAGCAAACAGG
RNAcentral lists this ribosomal RNA (253 nucleotides) under uncultured bacterium. RNAcentral's name for it is "partial 16S ribosomal RNA". It matches the Rfam family "Bacterial small subunit ribosomal RNA", at positions 524 to 776 of the family's 1533-position model. RNAcentral also lists the same sequence under 1 other name. The record is from RNAcentral.